UGAGGAAUAUUGGUCAAUGGGCGAGAGCCUGAACCAGCCAAGUCGCGUGAAGGAUGAAGGUCUUAUGGAUUGUAAACUUCUUUUAUAAGGGAAUAAAAAAGAUCACGUGUGGUUUAUUGCAUGUACCUUAUGAAUAAGCAUCGGCUAACUCCGUGCCAGCAGCCGCGGUAAUACGGAGGAUGCGAGCGUUAUCCGGAUUUAUUGGGUUUAAAGGGUGCGUAGGCGGUUUGUUAAGUCAGUGGUGAAAGUUUUCGGCUCAACCGGAAAAUUGCCAUUGAAACUGACAGACUUGAGUGUAAACGAGGUAGGCGGAAUUCGUGGUGUAGCGGUGAAAUGCUUAGAUAUCACGAAGAACUCCAAUUGCGAAGGCAGCUUACUAGGCUACAACUGACGCUGAAGCACGAAAGCGUGGGGAUCAAACA
Molecule: ribosomal RNA, 422 nt
Filed under: uncultured Porphyromonadaceae bacterium
Lineage: Bacteria; Pseudomonadati; Bacteroidota; Bacteroidia; Bacteroidales; Porphyromonadaceae
Description: partial 16S ribosomal RNA
Rfam family: Bacterial small subunit ribosomal RNA
Source: RNAcentral